GUUUAAACCUGUUCCUUCUUGUCAAGCCACAACUGCACAGCUUUGUAAGCACCGAGGGGAAAGAAAAACUGAAUCUUUAAAGCUUCUCUUCUCAUUUCUGAACAGGCAGAAGAAGCACUCUAAAAAUGGAGAGCCACGAUCUCGCAGUCACAAUUAAUGCCUGCGCAUAUCAGCUACGUCAAGUUGGAGAUGGACUUCACUGGAGAUACAAACUGCUGGAAAUACUGAUCAAGAACUAUGAGACUGUUUCUAAAAUCAAGUGAGACAUGUUCGUCAAAGUACAUGAAAGAGGAAUUGGAUUUUGCUUAACUGGAUAGCAUUCAGAGCAAAAGCUGAAGAGUCUUGGAUACGGACUCAUCACUGGAGGCUAAAUGGGGGCCCUCAAGUGGGAUGUAAGCUCCUGGAAAUACCCUGAUGAAGACAUGGACACAUGUUUAAAAAAAAAAAAGGGAUGCUGUUGAUCCACCGAUUCAGAGCCAUGGGUGACUGGAACCAAAGUGGACUAUCUGAAUGGAAGUUAUCUGCUGAAAGAUGCUGAUUAUUAUCACAUGUAUAGGCUACAUACUUCUGUAAACAUGGACAUGUGUGAAUGUUAUGCUCGAUCAGCCUGUCACAUGUAUGAUAACUGAAGAAUUGAGAUGUAGUUACUUAUCAACUCAAGACUUCUUUGUAAAUGGGAGGUAAUUAAUGGGUUUCUUAUUAAAGAUUCAUAUUCAAUAAGUCUAGAAUCUGGUUGUGUGUUUUAUAGUGGUGAAUGCCAGUGAAUAUAAGACAAUUUAAAGGAAUAGUUGGCAUUUUAGCAAAUAUGCUUAUUUGCUUUCCGGCUGUGAGUUAGAUGGGAAGAUACUAGUGAAUACAGAUUUUUCCUAAAAUAUCAAACAAUUCCUUUAGCAAAACUCAGGAAAUAAUCCAAAGCACUUUCACUUGAUAAAUCAAAAAGCCUUCAUUGUUAUGGCUUAGUCAUCUGAAAACCCCUAAAGGAGUCAAUCCUGUUGAUUCCCUAAUGAAGGCUUGUGUGCCAAAACACGUCAGAGUUGUUUUUUAAGGUUUAAGAUGACUAAGCCAUAACAAUAGAGGCUUUUUGAUUCUU
Etheostoma cragini (Arkansas darter) is the source of this 1090-nucleotide long non-coding RNA. RefSeq lists it as uncharacterized. The transcript has 2 exons. The record is from RefSeq and is a predicted model, not a curated record. Lineage: Eukaryota; Metazoa; Chordata; Actinopteri; Perciformes; Percidae.